GAAAAAACCGUCGCUGCACGAAAAAUAGUGAAACAAAUAAAAUGACAAAAAUGUGGUCGUCGUGUGAACUGUGGCGAUGUCACCUCAUGCUGUUUAGCAGAUAAACAGCCUACUUCUUGAUUGGAAGAAACUAUACGGAUGUCGAUCUAGUUAAGGAUCUCUUCUUCCCUCUUUUCUUAAAUGUCCUCGUGUACACUUCAUGUGAAGUGUGGGUGUAUUCACGUGGACUCGUGUGAGUGUAUUUCGUGGACGUUUUCAUUAUCCCGACUGGUGAAUUCAACUUUUCUUCCAACGGUGAACUUGUGGAUGCCUGGCCGUAGUUCCCAGGCAUAAAGGUAGGAAAGUUUGAUUCCUACUCUUCCCUUUUGACUAUGGGGUAGACGUUCAUUAUAUCAAUUGUUGCGAUGUACGAUUACUUCUGAGCUAUGCGCUGCGGACUGAAACUGAUUACAUUUUUUCACGAGAAAAAAUCUUGGCAGGAAUUAUCAUAAAUGUUUUAAGCUCUUGAACUUUUCCCAAUACCCGCGCUUUCGCAAAGCGCCUUCCGAAUUUGAAUUUCUCUAUUUCUAGUUUUGAAAAGGGCGAAUUCAACGACAUCUAGCGGCCAUUUUCCGAACGAGCGUUUAG
Long non-coding RNA from Daphnia pulicaria, 627 nucleotides. RefSeq lists it as uncharacterized. The record is from RefSeq and is a predicted model, not a curated record. The transcript is spliced from 2 exons. NCBI's taxonomy places the organism in Eukaryota, Metazoa, Arthropoda, Branchiopoda, Diplostraca, Daphniidae.